This is a non-coding RNA of Heterocephalus glaber (naked mole-rat), 73 nucleotides long. Lineage: Eukaryota; Metazoa; Chordata; Mammalia; Rodentia; Bathyergidae. The record is from Rfam.
AGGAGUGUGGCUCAAUGGUUAGAGCAUUUGUCUAACAUGUGUGAGGCCCUGGGUUCAAUUCCCAGGACUGCUA